AUUGAACGCUGGCGGCAUGCUUUACACAUGCAAGUCGAACGGCAGCGCGGGGGCAACCCUGGCGGCGAGUGGCGAACAGGUGAGUAAUGCAUCGGAACGUAUCCUGUAAUGGGGGAUAACGUAGCGAAAGUUACGCUAAUACCGCAUACGCUCGAGAGAGGAAAGUGGGGGAUCGCAAGACCUCACGUUAUAGGAGCGGCCGAUGUCCGACUAGCUAGUUGGUGGGGUAAAGGCCUACCAAGGCGACGAUCGGUAGCUGGUCUGAGAGGAUGAUCAGCCACACUGGGACUGAGACACGGCCCAGACGCCUACGGGAGGCAGCAGUGGGGAAUUUUGGACAAUGGGCGAAAGCCUGAUCCAGCCAUGCCGCGUGCGGGAAGAAGGCCUUCGGGUUGUAAACCGCUUUAGUCCGGGAAAAAGGGGUGCGAGGAUAAUACCCUCGUGCUUUGAUGGUACUGGAAGAAUAAGCACCGGCUAACUACGUGCCAGCAGCCGCGGUAAUGCGUAGGGUGCGAGCGUUAAUCGGAAUUACUGGGCGUAAAGCGUGCGUAGGCGGUCUUGUAAGACAGUCGUGAAAGCCCCGGGCUUAACCUGGGAACUGCGAUUGUGACUGCAAGGCUAGAGUGUGUCAGAGGGGGGUGGAAUUCCACGUGUAGCAGUGAAAUGCGUAGAGAUGUGGAGGAACACCGAUGGCGAAGGCAGCCCCCUGGGAUAACACUGACGCUCAUGCACGAAAGCGUGGGGAGCAAACAGGAUUAGAUACCCUGGUAGUCCACGCCCUAAACGAUGUCAACUGGUUGUUGGA
This 805-nucleotide ribosomal RNA is filed under the name uncultured Azonexus sp. Its description in RNAcentral is "bacterial SSU rRNA". It matches the Rfam family "Bacterial small subunit ribosomal RNA", at positions 28 to 827 of the family's 1533-position model. The record is from RNAcentral. Lineage: Bacteria; Pseudomonadati; Pseudomonadota; Betaproteobacteria; Rhodocyclales; Azonexaceae.